Molecule: ribosomal RNA, 576 nt
Filed under: Triticum aestivum (bread wheat)
Lineage: Eukaryota; Viridiplantae; Streptophyta; Magnoliopsida; Poales; Poaceae
Description: partial small subunit ribosomal RNA
Source: RNAcentral
AUGCAAAACAAUAAGGUAGUUGCAUAUGCAUCUCAACAGUUAAAGACAUAUGAGAAAAAUUAUCCAACUCAUGAUUUGGAAUUGUGUGAUGUUAUUUUUUCAUUAAAAAUAUGGAGGCAUUAUUUGUAUGGAGAACGUUGUGAACUUUUUACGGAUCAUAAGAGCCUGAAAUACAUAUUCACCCAGAAGGAAUUAAACAUGCGACAACGAAGGUGGUUAGAAUUACUUAAGGAUUAUGAUAUCAACAUAAAUUAUCAUCCAGGUAAAGCUAACGUUGUUGCUGAUGCACUUAGUAGAAAGGCUGAUUGCAACAUGGCAUGUCUAAUCACUACACAAAAGGACAUUUUGAGGGAUUUGGAAAAACUAGGAAUAGAAGUAUAUGUACGUGAUUUAACUAGCACUAUUAUGGCAUUACAAGUCAAACCUAAUCUGCAAGACAAAAUUCGGAUGAGGCAAAUGGAUGACCCAUUUCUUUUGAACCUCCGAAAGGGAAUAGAACAAGGAAAUCCAUCAGAGUUUCAUAUACGAAGUGAUGGGUCUGUAUGGCUGAGAAACCGCAUAUGUGUCCCUGACUAG